Molecule: ribosomal RNA, 397 nt
Filed under: uncultured bacterium
Lineage: Bacteria
Description: partial 16S ribosomal RNA
Rfam family: Bacterial small subunit ribosomal RNA
Source: RNAcentral
AUACGUAGGGGGCGAGCGUUGUCCGGAAUGAUUGGGCGUAAAGGGCGCGUAGGCGGCCCGGUAAGUCUGGAGUGAAAGUCCUGUUUUUAAGAUGGGAAUUGCUUUGGAUACUGCAGUGCUAGAGUGCGGAAGAGGUAAGUGGAAUUCCCAGUGUAGCGGUGAAAUGCGUAGAGAUUGGGAGGAACACCAGUGGCGUAGGCGACUUACUGGGCCGUAACUGACGCUGAGGCGCGAAAGCGUGGGGAGCGAACAGGAUUAGAUACCCUGGUAGUCCACGCGGUAAACGAUGAAUGCUAGGUGUUGCGGGUAUCGACCCCUGCAGUGCCGGAGUAAACACAAUAAGCAUUCCGCCUGGGGAGUACGGCCGCAAGGUUGAAACUCAAAGGAAUUGACGGGG